UUCCAGACUCCUACGGGAGGCAGCAGUGGGGGAUAUUGCACAAUGGGGGAAACCCUGAUGCAGCGACGCCGCGUGGGCGAAGAAGUAUUUCGGUAUGUAAAGCCCUAUCAGCAGGGAAGAAGAAAUGACGGUACCUGAGUAAGAAGCACCGGCUAAAUACGUGCCAGCAGCCGCGGUAAUACGUAUGGUGCAAGCGUUAUCCGGAUUUACUGGGUGUAAAGGGAGCGCAGGCGGCACGGCAAGCCUGAUGUGAAAGCCCGCGGCCCAACCGCGGGACUGCAUUGGGAACUACCGGGCUGGAGUGUCGGAGAGGUAGGCGGAAUUCCUAGUGUAGCGGUGAAAUGCGUAGAUAUUAGGAGGAACACCAGUGGCGAAGGCGGCCUGCUGGGCUUUUACUGACGCUGAGGCUCGAAAGCGUGGGUAGCAAACAGGAUUAGAUACCCCAGUA
This 448-nucleotide ribosomal RNA is filed under the name uncultured bacterium. Its description in RNAcentral is "bacterial SSU rRNA". It matches the Rfam family "Bacterial small subunit ribosomal RNA", at positions 329 to 792 of the family's 1533-position model. The record is from RNAcentral.